Acipenser ruthenus (sterlet) is the source of this 137-nucleotide small nuclear RNA. RefSeq annotates it as U11 spliceosomal RNA. NCBI's taxonomy places the organism in Eukaryota, Metazoa, Chordata, Actinopteri, Acipenseriformes, Acipenseridae. The record is from RefSeq and is a predicted model, not a curated record. The transcript has a single exon.
AAAAAGGGCUUGUGCUGUGUUUAGCACAGGGACGGGGUGGGUUCUUGCCCUAUCUCUGCGGAAUCGAUAUCAAGAGAUUUCGGAAGCACAAUCUUUAUAAAACUGGGCUGUCGAUGAUCAUUGGUCUUGACGCCCUC